Molecule: long non-coding RNA, 2266 nt
Filed under: Triticum aestivum (bread wheat)
Lineage: Eukaryota; Viridiplantae; Streptophyta; Magnoliopsida; Poales; Poaceae
Description: long non-coding RNA (TAES_LNC024337)
Source: RNAcentral
CAUAGUAAAUCCUGCCUAUGUUUUUUUCCACCACGCCUUUUCCUCCAUUCUUUCUCUUGUGCAUGCCAAGUCCAUUUGGUUGGAAACUGUGCAUACGUCAAACUGCGAGCUUCUUCAUGCAACUGGUUGGCUGUCAUCCAUUCUGUGAACAUUGUCUUUUCUAUGUUAGGCCGGGAUACAAUUUGAUCUAAAUCCAUUGAGUCCGGGAACACCACAACAUGUUCAUUUUCUAGGUGAAAUUGUAACCUUUCAACCGCAGGCUCUCUGUACUGAAGAGGAAACUGAAAUAUGCGUCAUGCGGCUUCACAUCCAGAUAUGUACCGGGCAUCAAGGUACCUCUUGAUUUCGUCGUCCUUGUUUGUUAAUUUGCUAGCUCUUGUUUCACUUUGUUGGUCUUCCGCUUCUAUCAAGACGGUUGUUCGAUCUUCUCCUUUAUGGAUGUAUUUGAAUAAAUACUUUAUAGACCUUGAUCUGUUGCACCACUCAACAUUUAUGUGGGCUUGAUACUUGACCAGUAGGUUUCUAUUGUAUGGCACAACAAAUCUAUUGUCUAGCUUCACUCCAUUCUUGUCCACAGUGUUGCCAUCAUCUCGCCUUCUAUAUACUGGAUAGUUAUCUUCAUCUAUGGUAGUCUCAGUGCAAAAAUUCUUGGGGAAAUGUUUGGCACAACUUUUAUCGACCAUGCAUGGUGAUUUUGGGUGUGCUUGACCACAUGGACCAUGUAUCAUGUAAUUUUGCACUGCUUCGUACCCUUCUGGAUCACUAUUCUUAUCAGGAAUUUCGGCUGAUAUGAUUUUGUCGAUCUGGGAAGGACUUGGAUCUUUAUCAUCUGGGUGUAGAAACACCAGUAUGUGUGCAUGCGGGGGGCCUCUUUUCUGGAACUCUAUAGUGUAGACAACUUUAUGAAAGUAAACAAAUUUGAGAAGAAAUGAGUUAGGACAAUCAUCUAGGAAAGAGUGAAUAUGUACUUAUUAGGUAAACUUACUUGCAAUUGUUUGUCCAAAACACUUUCCGUUCUUUAUGUCAUUCAUAAGUUCCUUCAGUUUUAACAUGAAUACUCUGGCAACGAUAUCUGGACGAUCUUCAGAUUUCUGGCCUGGAAUCAGAUCCAACAUAUCUUGUAUUUCCAGCCAUUUUGGAUUGCAUGUAGAAGUAAUGAAGAGAUCAGGAUAGCCAGCCCAAGGACAAAUCGCCAUGGCAUCUUGGUAGUUUUGCCGCUUAUUUCUUGGACUGCCAUUAUAUGAUGAGGGUAGUAUGAUUCUUUGUCCAACUUGUUCGGCUCGUGUAUCUCCAUUUUCUAUUGCAUCAUGCAGUCCUCUGUACAGUUCUGUCCUCAACUUACCUUGGUUUGUCCUGUACCAAUUUAGUCUCCACUGUUCAAUGCACGUUGCUGCAUCAACUAAAAACUGCAGGAACAAACGUCCACUCAUUUGCAAUGUUGAAGCUUGGUUCAGACGUUGUUGUAUGCGAUACGCAUAAAACUCCAGCAUUGUUACAUACUUUCUUUUACCUUUGCUGCCUCUUUUAUUUUCAUACUCUAUUUCUGGUCUGAAACCAUCUUCUCCAUAUGGAAAAAGCAAGGGGUACUGCAUUGACAUAUAGCUUGGGUGCAACUCUGAAAUCCUCUGUAACAUUCUGUCUUUGGUCUCAACUAUUAUAUCAAAUUCAUUAUUUUCUCCACCUUGUUCCCCAAUAAUUAGUGCUGCGACUUCUGAGGCAGAUGGUAGGUUGUAUUGUCGUCCAUCUUUCGACCUUAGUCUUACAUCUUUAAUACGUCGGUUUUGGAAUCUGUCCCUUGCCAUACGAAAUGAUUUGACUAAAACAUUGUGCUCAUCAAGCAUCUCCAGUAGUCCUUUGACAAUGUUUUCAUCUGGUUGUGUCUUACUCUCCGUUGAAGCAGAUGCAUUAAUCCUAUUCCGCACUUCAUUUUCUGUGUCAUGUAUGUACAAUUGGGCAAAUUUUGGUUUCGUCACAUCAUCCUUAGGAAGUAAAGUGCCAAUCUGAUGGUAAUUAUGGCCAUUCAAACGGAAAACAUAUGGUCCAGAUGCCUGCUUAUUAAUUUCAUAGUCAACCUUUUCUCCCAUUGAAGUGAAUGCGAACAUCGAGGUGUACAACCUGAUGUUCUGGCGGAAAUUUGAUGAUUCUCCUCUUUCAUUGUAACGUAGUAGCUGUCGGAGAUACAGCGGAGCUUGCUUCAGUGGUGGUAAUUUAACUUUCCCUUCCUUGCAGCAGAGACCAAAUUUUGGAACUGUGAUGUUACCUGUGC